RNAcentral lists this ribosomal RNA (429 nucleotides) under uncultured bacterium. Its description in RNAcentral is "bacterial SSU rRNA". It matches the Rfam family "Bacterial small subunit ribosomal RNA", at positions 355 to 776 of the family's 1533-position model. The record is from RNAcentral.
UGGGGAAUAUUGCACAAUGGGGGAAACCCUGAUGCAGCCAUGCCGCGUGUGUGAAGAAGGCCUUCGGGUUGUAAAGCACUUUCAGCGAGGAGGAAAGGUUGGCAGCUAAUAUCUGUCAGCUGUGACGUUACUCGCAGAAGAAGCACCGGCUAACUCCGUGCCAGCAGCCGCGGUAAUACGGAGGGUGCAAGCGUUAAUCGGAAUUACUGGGCGUAAAGCGCACGCAGGCGGUUGGAUAAGUUAGAUGUGAAAGCCCCGGGCUCAACCUGGGAAUUGCAUUUAAAACUGUUCAGCUAGAGUCUUGUAGAGGGGGGUAGAAUUCCAGGUGUAGCGGUGAAAUGCGUAGAGAUCUGGAGGAAUACCGGUGGCGAAGGCGGCCCCCUGGACAAAGACUGACGCUCAGGUGCGAAAGCGUGGGGAGCAAACAGG